This 498-nucleotide ribosomal RNA is filed under the name uncultured bacterium. Its description in RNAcentral is "partial 16S ribosomal RNA". It matches the Rfam family "Bacterial small subunit ribosomal RNA", at positions 30 to 523 of the family's 1533-position model. The record is from RNAcentral.
AUUGAACGCUGGCGGCAUGCCUUACACAUGCAAGUCGAACGGUAACAGGUCUUCGGAUGCUGACGAGUGGCGAACGGGUGAGUAAUACAUCGGAACUUGCCCGAGAGUGGGGGAUAACGAAGCGAAAGCUUUGCUAAUACCGCAUACGAUCUCAGGAUGAAAGCAGGGGACCGCAAGGCCUUGCGCUCACGGAGCGGCCGAUGGCAGAUUAGGUAGUUGGUGGGAUAAAAGCUUACCAAGCCGACGAUCUGUAGCUGGUCUGAGAGGACGACCAGCCACACUGGGACUGAGACACGGCCCAGACUCCUACGGGAGGCAGCAGUGGGGAAUUUUGGACAAUGGGCGCAAGCCUGAUCCAGCCAUGCCGCGUGCAGGAUGAAGGCCUUCGGGUUGUAAACUGCUUUUGUACGGAACGAAAAGACUCUGGUUAAUACCUGGGGUCCAUGACGGUACCGUAAGAAUAAGCACCGGCUAACUACGUGCCAGCCGCCGCCGUAA